RNAcentral lists this ribosomal RNA (303 nucleotides) under Triticum aestivum (bread wheat). RNAcentral's name for it is "partial small subunit ribosomal RNA". Lineage: Eukaryota; Viridiplantae; Streptophyta; Magnoliopsida; Poales; Poaceae. The record is from RNAcentral.
AUGACCUCCGCCAUGAUCGAAGCUCGGCCUCGAAGUCCUGUCGCCGCCGUCUUCGGCAGCUGCUGCUCCGCCGCACUUGCCCAUUCCGGCUGGAUCCCGGCAGCUAGGCCCCGUCCCCGGUCACCGGUGCCCUCGCCGGAGAACCCUGCUUCAGCCCGCUUCCCCCUGCAUCGUCUGAAGCCGCCUGCGUUCCCCUCUGUCUGCUUUCUGUCGAACAGAGGAACCGCUGCCUCGAGCGUCCCUGCGUUGACCUUCCAGAUCCAGCUGGCCCAGCACUGCCGCAUCCGUCCCGCCAGCCCAUGA